Molecule: long non-coding RNA, 1684 nt
Filed under: Salvia miltiorrhiza (redroot sage)
Lineage: Eukaryota; Viridiplantae; Streptophyta; Magnoliopsida; Lamiales; Lamiaceae
Description: long non-coding RNA (SMIL_LNC007681)
Source: RNAcentral
AACUCUAUAUUCUAAUUACUCAAGAAACAUAAACAGAAUACAAUACGAGCAUUACAAAAUUGCAAGGUAAAAGUAGGUGGAUAUAGAAACGUAGUCCAUUUAUUAAGUGGAUUGCAUAAUGAUGAUAAGAAGAAAAUGAAUGUUGAAGCAAAGGUGAAGUUAGAGAAGAAAAUCAAUCUUGUCUCUGGAGUUUGCACAUGACUAUUAUUGAAUUGAAGAAAGUGAGAAGCGAAGUGUUGAUUCAGAGUAGGACUUUAGUGGGCUUGUAAUCAACAACAAGGACUUUCUCAAACUGGGGCAGUAACCUGUUUGCGAAGUCGACAUGAUCUGGAUGGGAAAUAUAUUCAGCAAUCCCUUGUGUGCUUUCAAAGCUUGAUUCGAAGACAUGAGUGAAACCUUGAUGCAUGUUUUCAAUGCUCACAUCUUUACCCCUGCCACAGUCACACACAAAUAACCAACACUUUCUCACAAAAAUUAAAUUGCAAUAGAAUACGAAAUGCCUGCAAAUUGAACAAUAAAAAAUUCAUCUUUCAUCAGGAAUUGUAGCGUAUUUGGCAUUUCCCAGCGAGAGAUCUACUGCUAUUUUCUCAUCAAUCAAAUAUUUUGAUUGGUUCACAUCUAGCGACUACAACCCAACACCUAAGAUGAACAAGUAAUUCCUAAAUAUGCAGAUAAGAUCCACAACGAUCGCGGCGUAUUUAAUUGAACAAUUGAUUAAUGAAACGGCAAAAGCAGAAAACCUCUAGAAAUGAAGAAAGGGGGGAGAGAGAGAAAAUACCAUCUGAAGGCCUUCAUGGAAGGAACAAGAUUGACAAGAUUGGCGUACUCUUUGAUGUAUUCAUCAAUCUGUUGUUCGGACAAGCCAUCCUUAAACUUUGCAAGCAGUAUGUGCUUCACUUCUUCCUUGCUUUCCUCCAUUACAAUGUAAGAGAGAGAGAGAGAGAGNNNACAUAACUGAAGUUGAAAAAUACUCCACCUAGCUAAUGUUUUGUAAUAAAUGACAUUAGUAUCAUGAAAGGAAAGGCAAGAAAUACAGAGCACACAAAUAAGUAGAUAAUAGGUAUGUUAUAUUUCCAUAUAAUUAUUCUUUCUAGCUAAAACACAUCUAUCUUAUUUUCAUUGUAUAUAUCCCACCAUUUCCUCACUCCAUCUCCUGUGUUUCUCGAAAAUUAAGCGCAGCCAUAGGUAGUCAAUUAAUGUUGCCGAACACUGAUUGGAUGCAGUCAAGUAAAUCAAAUUGAAGAUGAUCUAAGUGAUAGUUUUGAAGUUGAAGGAGGAAUGGUAUCUCACCUCAAAAGGCUAGAUUUGUGACAUUUGGAACAGGUAAAUCAAUAUCCAAAUUGACACCCAUAUUACAGAUGAGAUUGCACAUCAACUCUAAUUCUAAUUGUUCAAGAAACAUAAACAGAAAGCAUUACAAAAGGUAAACAGGAGUCUUUGAAGUUUACACAUUACUAUUAUUGAAUUCAACAAAGUGAGAAGUGAAGUUUGAUAGACUAGGACUUAAGUGGGCUUGUAAUCAACAGAGAUGAGUUUCUCCAAUUGUGGCAAUACUCUGUUUGCAUAGUCGACAUGAUUUGGAUGGGAAAUAUAUUCAGCAAUCCCUUGUGUGCUUUCAAAGCUUAAUUCGAAGACAUGAGUGAAACCUUGUUGCUUGUUUCCAAUGCCCACAUCUUUACCCCUG